RNAcentral lists this long non-coding RNA (245 nucleotides) under Mustela putorius furo (domestic ferret). Its description in RNAcentral is "lncRNA (ENSMPUG00000024205.1)". The record is from RNAcentral. Lineage: Eukaryota; Metazoa; Chordata; Mammalia; Carnivora; Mustelidae.
AUGUCUUACAGAACACCGAUUGAGACAACCACCCAUGGACAAGGGAGACUUUCUGGAAACCCAGAGAUCCAUUGGGGAAGUUCCAGCACUUUGUUAGAACAAAACAAACCAACGACAAAACAAAACAACAACAACAACAAAAACAAGAUGAAGGCACAGAAACAGCUAGUUACUGAAGAGUACAGGGGGUGACUUCUUCCUCAACUGUGAAAUCAACAAUGUAAGACCUCAAGGAACAUGAAAAC